This is a non-coding RNA of Misgurnus anguillicaudatus (oriental weatherfish), 1525 nucleotides long. NCBI's taxonomy places the organism in Eukaryota, Metazoa, Chordata, Actinopteri, Cypriniformes, Cobitidae. The record is from RefSeq and is a predicted model, not a curated record.
UGUUAAAAGAUCGCUGUGUCUCAUAUCACCUUGUUAUUUGUACACGGUUUGACUAUACAAAUCACAACACAUAAAUAGGAAAAUGAUCGCGUUAUUUUGUCACUUAUUGGGAGCAGUAUACUAGCUGGAGCCAUGCAUUUCCAGUCUUUGUGCUAAGCUAAGCUAGCGGGGGCUGCGUCAGACAGAGUUACAGCACGCACGGAGAUGAGAGAGGUAUGUAUGGACUUAUCUAACUCUGGGGGAUACGGUGAAUAAGCUAAAUUCCCAAAAUGUGGGCGUGUUCCUUUAAUAUUGAAAUCACUCGCGCUUGACGCCUCUACCGCGGCUGGUCUGAACGCAGCAUUAGACCGCCAGCGACAAGCAGUAGCAGAGCAAUGUGAUCACAUUCAUUUCAAUGGACGCUUGGCGUCUCUGCGACACAUUUGCAUAAAGUUAAACUUUCUUACUUGCUCGCGUCGCUGGACACGCUGAUAUUGUCGCCAACGACAACAUUUGUUGCCAGAUAUACUUUUAGGGUUGUUAAUAUUCCUAGGUGGCCUGCCCCAGUAAAGGAAAUGUGUGGAAAACUGAUUUCUGUAGUUCAAAGUUAAAAUGGAGUUGAUAAUUGGAAUCUGUUUACUUUUUGAUAUUACUGGCCUUAUUUUGGACUUGUAGUGCAUGUUAUUAUAAGGACAACCCCCACUUCUGAUAAAAUCCUGUCCUACAUUUUUAUCUUGUUAAAUAUUUGUUUCAUCUGGGCAUAUUCACAUCAAUGUCCGUGUCAGCUUGUAAGUUUGGUUUAAGCAUCUGCAUACAUUCUGGUCAUUUCAAUGAGGUGAAGCCAACAGGAACAUGCACAAGGCUGCUCCUGAGUUUUUGCAUACUGUGGUUUUUAUUUUAUUUGCAUGUUGGCAGACGCCUGUGGGAAAGUUUAAAGUAUCUGCAUGUUUCUAGUAUGACAAUCAUAUCCAAAACUUUAGAUUGUGAUGAAUAGUUGAUAUGAAAUUGACCUAAACGUCAUGACUGCAGUACAGCUUUGAGCUUUACAUUUUCUUUUCAGCAGAAAUACAAUGCUUAUAUGUAAUAUGAGCAUACAUGUAUGUUAAAUGUGAAUGUGCAAAAUGAACAUUUUUGCUGUCGUUGCCUGUUAUCAGCUUUAUUUAAAUGAUUGUUUAUAUAUGCACAUUUUAUCAUAUUAGGUUUCAGUUUUGUUUAAAAUGAGAUGAAAAAUUUUUCUGCCAAAAUAGGGUUUUUUCCUUAAUCACAAAUUUCUUUAUGUUGAUGUUCUCAUCACACACAUUUUUACUGGUUUAAACUGAAAAUUACUGCUUUCUUUUCCUCAUUUGAUCACAAGAUGCUGUUAGAAAAAUCGAUUUUAAGAUUUUGUCUUUAACAUCAUGUAAAGCUUUUACCUUGUAUUUUAAAUGUGGAGAUUGAAUGUGAUUGGACACUGUUUACUGUACUUGUAUGUGAUUUGCUGCCUGGUCUACAGAGAAACAUUUAAGAACAAAUAUUUUAGGCCUUAAAUAAAAUCUGAAUAAUCAAA